Molecule: transfer RNA, 76 nt
Filed under: Thermochaetoides thermophila DSM 1495
Lineage: Eukaryota; Fungi; Ascomycota; Sordariomycetes; Sordariales; Chaetomiaceae
Description: Chaetomium thermophilum var. thermophilum DSM 1495 tRNA-Ala
Rfam family: tRNA
About the family: Transfer RNA (tRNA) molecules are approximately 80 nucleotides in length. Their secondary structure includes four short double-helical elements and three loops (D, anti-codon, and T loops).
Source: RNAcentral
GGGUGCAUGGUCUAGUGGUAUGAUUUUCGCUUCGCAUCCUUGUGAAAGGUCCCCGGUUCGAUCCCGGGUGCAUCCA